CGCCCCCGGGCCCGCGCCCGCCGAAGACCCCUCGAACGCUGCCUUGAAGGUUGCCUUCUGAGUAUUAAAUUAAUUGUUAAAACUUUCAACAACGGAUCUCUUGGUUCCGGCAUCGAUGAAGAACGCAGCGAAAUGCGAUAAGUAAUGUGAAUUGCAGAAUUCCGUGAAUCAUCGAAUCUUUGAACGCACAUUGCGCCCCCUGGCAUUCCGGGGGGCAUGCCUGUCCGAGCGUCAUUGCUAACUCUCCAGCCCGGCUGGUGUGUUGGGCCGUCGUCCCCUCCGGGGGACGGGCCCGAAAGGCAGCGGCGGCGCCGCGUCCGGUCCUCGAGCGUAUGGGGUUUUGUCACGCGCUCUGGUAGGCCCGGCCGGCUUGCUGGCCAACGACCUCACGGUCACCUAACUUCUCUCUUAGGUUGACCUCGGAUCAGGUAGGGAUACCCGCUGAACUUAAGCAUAUCAAUAAGCGGAGGAAAAGAAACCAACAGGGAUUGCCCUAAUAACGGCGAGUGAAGCGGCAAGAGCUCAAAUUUGAAAUCUGGCUCCUCCGGGGCCCGAGUUGUAAUUUGCAAAGGAUGCUUCGGGUGCGGUCC
RNAcentral lists this ribosomal RNA (590 nucleotides) under Paecilomyces niveus. Its description in RNAcentral is "eukaryotic LSU rRNA". The stretch from base 81 to 234 matches the Rfam family "5.8S ribosomal RNA". Lineage: Eukaryota; Fungi; Ascomycota; Eurotiomycetes; Eurotiales; Thermoascaceae. The record is from RNAcentral.